RNAcentral lists this long non-coding RNA (388 nucleotides) under Olea europaea subsp. europaea. The record is from RNAcentral. Lineage: Eukaryota; Viridiplantae; Streptophyta; Magnoliopsida; Lamiales; Oleaceae.
CCCAGAAUCUGAGCGAAUGGAGUGCCAUGCAGUCGCCCAGAGCUGUUACUCUAUUCUCGCCCAAACCUUCGAGUCGCCCAAGGUCUUAGCAAACAUAAAGUGUUGUGGUUAUCAAGAAGUGCAGUUAUCAAAGUAAUUAUUAAAACAGCCCUAUCACGUUCCAUGAUUCAAGGAACUUAAUUGAAGACGGUUGAACGACAAAGAGUAAUGACAGCAGUUAGAAAAGGUAGUUCCAUAACAAGUUGGCCAUUACGAGAAAAAUGGGCAGUUAUAGAACGAUCCAGCAGUUUUUAGGCGGUUGAUCACAAAGAGAUCAUCCAGGGAGUAUAAAAGGAAGGAAGGACAUAGAGCAAAGGACCGAAUCAAAAAAUCUCGAACAGAGAACAUG